GCUGGGCAUGGUGGUGCAUGCCUGUAGUUCUGGCUACUCGGGAAGCUGAGGCAGGAGGAUCACUUGAGCCUGGGAGAUGGAGGCUGCAGUGAGCCAUGAUCGCACCACUGCGCUCCAGCCUGGGCGACAGAGUGAGACUCUGUCUCCA
Molecule: unclassified non-coding RNA, 148 nt
Organism: Pongo abelii (Sumatran orangutan)
Lineage: Eukaryota; Metazoa; Chordata; Mammalia; Primates; Hominidae
Rfam family: Metazoan signal recognition particle RNA
About the family: The signal recognition particle (SRP) is a universally conserved ribonucleoprotein. It is involved in the co-translational targeting of proteins to membranes.
Source: Ensembl